Molecule: ribosomal RNA, 377 nt
Filed under: uncultured bacterium
Lineage: Bacteria
Description: bacterial SSU rRNA
Rfam family: Bacterial small subunit ribosomal RNA
Source: RNAcentral
AUACGUAGGUGGCGAGCGUUGUCCGGAAUUACUGGGCGUAAAGGGCGUGUAGGCGGCCUGUUAAGUCAGGCGUGAAAACCCCGGGCUUAACCUGGGGACUGCGUUUGAAACUGGCGGGCUUGAGGGCAGGAGAGGAAAGUGGAAUUCCCGGUGUAGCGGUGAUAUGCGUAGAUACCGGGAGGAACACCAGUGGCGAAGGCGGCUUUCUGGACUGCACCUGACGCUGAGGCGCGAAAGCCAGGGGAGCGAACGGGAUUAGAUACCCCGGUAGUCCUGGCCGUAAACGAUGGGUACUAGGUGUGGGAGGUAUCGACUCCCUCCGUGCCGGAGUUAACGCAUUAAGCAUCCCGCCUGGGGAGUACGGUCGCAAGGCUGAA